AGCAGUAGCCGCGGGAAUACGUAGGGUGCGAGCGUUAAUCGGAAUUACUGGGCGUAAAGCGUGCGCAGGCGGUUUUGUAAGACAGAGGUGAAAUCCCCGGGCUCAACCUGGGAACUGCCUUUGUGACUGCAAGGCUAGAGUACGGCAGAGGGGGAUGGAAUUCCGCGUGUAGCAGUGAAAUGCGUAGAUAUGCGGAGGAACACCGAUGGCGAAGGCAAUCCCCUGGGCCUGUACUGACGCUCAUGCACGAAAGCGUGGGGAGCAAACAGGAUUAGAGACCCGUGUAGUCCCUGUCUCUUAUAA
RNAcentral lists this ribosomal RNA (303 nucleotides) under uncultured bacterium. RNAcentral describes it as "partial 16S ribosomal RNA". It matches the Rfam family "Bacterial small subunit ribosomal RNA", at positions 507 to 809 of the family's 1533-position model. The record is from RNAcentral.